Molecule: microRNA precursor, 61 nt
Filed under: Pristionchus pacificus
Lineage: Eukaryota; Metazoa; Nematoda; Chromadorea; Rhabditida; Neodiplogasteridae
Description: mir-8364 microRNA precursor family
Rfam family: mir-8364 microRNA precursor family
Source: Rfam by way of RNAcentral
UCUUCAUUUCACACACUCUCUCGCCUCUCUGACCGGUGAGAGAGUGUGUAAAAUGAAGAGA